GGGGCCGUAGUCUAGCUUGGUCAGGACGCCACCUUGGGGUGGUGGUAACCCGAGUUCAAAUCUCGGCGGCCCCA
RNAcentral lists this transfer RNA (74 nucleotides) under Candidatus Aenigmatarchaeota archaeon. Its description in RNAcentral is "tRNA-Pro". It matches the Rfam family "tRNA". From Rfam's summary of the family: Transfer RNA (tRNA) molecules are approximately 80 nucleotides in length. Their secondary structure includes four short double-helical elements and three loops (D, anti-codon, and T loops). Further hydrogen bonds mediate the characteristic L-shaped molecular structure. tRNAs have two regions of fundamental functional importance: the anti-codon, which is responsible for specific mRNA codon recognition, and the 3' end, to which the tRNAs corresponding amino acid is attached (by aminoacyl-tRNA synthetases). tRNAs cope with the degeneracy of the genetic code in two manners: having more than one tRNA (with a specific anti-codon) for a particular amino acid; and 'wobble' base-pairing, i.e. permitting non-standard base-pairing at the 3rd anti-codon position. Lineage: Archaea; Nanobdellati; Candidatus Aenigmatarchaeota. The record is from RNAcentral.